Microcebus murinus (gray mouse lemur) is the source of this 102-nucleotide unclassified non-coding RNA. It matches the Rfam family "Y RNA". From Rfam's summary of the family: Y RNAs are components of the Ro ribonucleoprotein particle (Ro RNP), in association with Ro60 and La proteins. The Y RNAs and Ro60 and La proteins are well conserved, but the function of the Ro RNP is not known. Lineage: Eukaryota; Metazoa; Chordata; Mammalia; Primates; Cheirogaleidae. The record is from Ensembl.
AGUUGGUCUGAGUGCAGUGAUGUUUACAACUAAUUGAUCACAACCAGUUACAGAUUCCUUUGUUCCUUCUCCACACCCACUGCUCCACUUGACCAGCCUUAA